UACAGAGGUCCCGAGCGUUGUUCGGAUUCACUGGGCGUAAAGGGUGCGUAGGUGGUUAGGUAAGUCCGAUGUGAAAUCUCCAGGCUCAACCUGGAAAUGGCAUUGGAUACUAUUUAGCUUGAGGAGUGGAGGGGGGACUGGAAUUCUCGGUGUAGCAGUGAAAUGCGUAGAUAUCGAGAGGAACACCAGUGGCGAAGGCGGCCUCCUGGGCUAAUACUGACACUGAGGUGCGAAAGCGUGGGGAGCAAACAGG
Molecule: ribosomal RNA, 253 nt
Filed under: uncultured bacterium
Lineage: Bacteria
Description: partial 16S ribosomal RNA
Rfam family: Bacterial small subunit ribosomal RNA
Source: RNAcentral